Molecule: long non-coding RNA, 1005 nt
Organism: Lytechinus variegatus (green sea urchin)
Lineage: Eukaryota; Metazoa; Echinodermata; Echinoidea; Temnopleuroida; Toxopneustidae
Exons: 2
Source: RefSeq, a predicted model, not a curated record
AACUUGUGUCUGAUUUUUUUUUUGUCUAAAGACAACACUUUUUGCAGAAGGCCCCAGAUACAUUGUAAAUGUGGUCCUUGUGUAUUAAAGAAAUUUUGAAAUAUACAUGUAAAUGUGGUUUAUAUGAUUAUAUUUGAAAUUAAUGUUUAAUUGACAAAGAAUGUAUUGUGGUUUCAAGCAUGAAUAAUGCAAUUUAGAGUGUAUUGGAGAAAAUGGUUGAAUGCUUGAACUUGAAGAUUAAUUUUGAUUAAUUUUCAUUAAUUUUGUAUAAAAAAGUACCAGGUGGAGCAAUUUUAUGACAGUUUAGUUUGUUCUAGCUUAUAAGGUUGACCAAGACAGUCUUUGAAAACUGUGUUCUCAUUGAACAAGAUGGAAAUAAUUUUGUCUGUAUGAGACAUUAAAAGCAUGCUAUAGCUACAAAUCUCUAUUGAAUUAAAAUUUGUAAUUUUCAGUAAAAUCAUUCCAUUUUCAAUCUUGAUGGUUAAGAAAUUAUGUCAAGACAAAUUUUGUUCUCAGGAAUAAUUUAUUCAUAUACUUCUGGGAAAAACAUGUACUGUACAUGUGAAUGGAAAUAAUUAUAAUUAGUAUUUAAGGUGUUGCCUAUCUUUUGAGAACAUUAAUUGAUUAAAUUAAGAUGUACAUAAUAAGAGACUUAAUUUGUAAUGCACCUUUAAUAUAAUAUGAUUAUACAUAGGUGCAAUACAGUGAUAAAGUAUUGUUAUUAUUACAAAUUAGUUUGUCUUUUUGUAAGGAUUCCAACUCUAUUUGUGGCCUUAAUACCCAUGAUACAUGUAUGUAUUUGUUAAUGUAUUAAAACAAAAAGAUGAUCGAAAAAUGACACUGUUACUUUUAACCCUAAGAAGACUGGGGGGGGGCUGAUUCAACCCCCCCUCAACAUUUUCCGUGAUCAAUCCGCUGCCCUAAAUCUUUUGACCGGGUUGCUCACCGACUUUUUAUUUUCAUGUCUCGCGCAACUUCUGAGACCAAAAUUGUGACCCUCGGGUA